GAUGAACGCUGGCGGCGUGCCUAAUACAUGCAAGUCGAGCGAACGGACGAGAAGCUUGCUUCUCUGAUGUUAGCGGCGGACGGGUGAGUAACACGUGGAUAACCUACCUAUAAGACUGGGAUAACUUCGGGAAACCGGAGCUAAUACCGGAUGAUAUUUUGAACCGCAUGGCUCAAAAGUGAAAGACGGUCUUGCUGUCACUUAUAGAUGGAUCCGCGCUGCAUUAGCUAGUUGGUAAGGUAAUGGCUUACCAAGGCAACGAUGCAUAGCCGACCUGAGAGGGUGAUCGGCCACACUGGAACUGAGACACGGUCCAGACUCCUACGGGAGGCAGCAGUAGGGAAUCUUCCGCAAUGGGCGAAAGCCUGACGGAGCAACGCCGCGUGAGUGAUGAAGGUCUUCGGAUCGUAAAACUCUGUUAUUAGGGAAGAACAUAUGUGUAAGUAACUGUGCACAUCUUGACGGUACCUAAUCAGAAAGCCACGGCUAACUACGUG
This 497-nucleotide ribosomal RNA is filed under the name uncultured bacterium. Its description in RNAcentral is "partial 16S ribosomal RNA". It matches the Rfam family "Bacterial small subunit ribosomal RNA", at positions 28 to 507 of the family's 1533-position model. The record is from RNAcentral.